UUGAGAUUCAAAAAAUGAUGAAGCAGUUACUUUGGUUGAAAAAGAACCAGUAACUGUGCCUGAUAAAGAUGAACAAGAAAAACCAAUAAAGAGAAGAAAGCUAUGUAAAAUAGCAAAUAAAGAGGUGCAAGAUGAAGAUGAACAAGGUAAUCCACCCACAACAUCUGCUCAGAUCAUAUCAGAAUCUACAACACCUGUCCCAGAUGUGGAAAUCAGAGAAGUAGAUACAUAUAAUCCGAUGUAGAAAGUGGAUCCAAAAUUAUGGAAGAAAUACUUACAAUGGAAAAGAUCAAGAAAAACAACCCAUGAACAAAGGAAAGUAGUCUCCACAACUAGAAAGAAAGACUUUUUCAGACAGCUUGAAGAAAACACAUGGGUACAUGGAGACACAUUGGAUUUGCUAUUAUCCCACUUGCAGAAUAAAAUGUUGCAUCUCAAGCACCUUUGCAAGCGUUCUUUUAGAAUAUUACAUUCCUCGUUUCUACUUGGAAUCAAUAAACCAGACUGCAUUGUUUGGAACCAUAUUUUCGAUACUCAUCUGGUGACACCAGAUAAUACGAAAGCUGAAUGGACAGACCCAACAGCACACCUAACUAUAUGGACAUAAAAAGAUGUGGAAUACUAUUUCAACACUGCUGUUGGUGAUUACAACCACAUACCAGGGUGGGGAGAUGUCAACUACGUGAUUACCUGCAUCAACAUAAAAGAACACUGGUUGGCUAUUGCAGCUGAUAUGAGAAAAUGCAGGAUCUACGUGUUCGACUCAAUGCCAAAUUAUGUUGAGCAGAAACUUGUUGAUGAAGCUCUUCAAAUGCCUGCACAAUGCAUCCCCUCACUCGCGAUUGCAAUUGGAGUCAACCUCCAUUCAGAGCAUUUCAAAUAUGGCCCUUGGCCAAUACGCAGAUCGAAGACCACAUUACAGAAAGGCGUUCAUUGGAUUGUGGAAUUUUCUGUGCUAAAUUUGUUGAAUGCCUUGUAACUGCUAGUGACCUUGGUUGUCUAACUGUUCAAACAUGA
This is a long non-coding RNA of Cucumis melo (muskmelon), 1017 nucleotides long. RefSeq lists it as uncharacterized. The transcript is spliced from 3 exons. NCBI's taxonomy places the organism in Eukaryota, Viridiplantae, Streptophyta, Magnoliopsida, Cucurbitales, Cucurbitaceae. The record is from RefSeq and is a predicted model, not a curated record.